CCUACGGGGGGCAGCAGUGAGGAAUAUUGGUCAAUGGGCUUACGCCUGAACCAGCCAAGUCGCGUGAGGGAAGACUGCCCUAUGGGUUGUAAACCUCUUUUGUCAGGGAGCAACGCCGGCUACGUGUAGCCGGACUGAGAGUACCUGCAGAAAAAGCAUCGGCUAACUCCGUGCCAGCAGCCGCGGUAAUACGGAGGAUGCGGGCGUUAUCCGGAUUGAUUGGGUUUAAAGGGUGCGUAGGCGGAAUGCCAAGUCAGCGGGAAAAUCGCGGGGCUCAACCUCGCUCCGCCGUUGAAACUGGCGUUCUUGAGUGGGCGAGAGGUAUGCGGAAUGCGUGGUGUAGCGGUGAAAUGCAUAGAUAUCACGAAGAACUCCGAUUGCGAAGGCAGCAUACCGGCGCCCAACUGACGCUGAAGCACGAAAGCGUGGGUAUCGAACAGGAUUAGAUACCCGAGUAGUC
Molecule: ribosomal RNA, 460 nt
Filed under: uncultured bacterium
Lineage: Bacteria
Description: partial 16S ribosomal RNA
Rfam family: Bacterial small subunit ribosomal RNA
Source: RNAcentral